GAUGAACGCUGGCGGCGUGCUUAACACAUGCAAGUCGGACGGUGAAGGCGGAGCUUGCUCUGCUGGAUCAGUGGCGAACGGGUGAGUAACACGUGAGCAAUCUGCCCCUGACUCUGGGAUAAGCGCUGGAAACGGCGUCUAAUACUGGAUACGAGCUGCGAAGGCAUCUUCAGCAGCUGGAAAGAAUUUCGGUCAGGGAUGAGCUCGCGGCCUAUCAGCUUGUUGGUGAGGUAAUGGCUCACCAAGGCGUCGACGGGUAGCCGGCCUGAGAGGGUGACCGGCCACACUGGGACUGAGACACGGCCCAGACUCCUACGGGAGGCAGCAGUGGGGAAUAUUGCACAAUGGGCGAAAGCCUGAUGCAGCAACGCCGCGUGAGGGACGACGGCCUUCGGGUUGUAAACCUCUUUUAGCAGGGAAGAAGCGAAAGUGACGGUACCUGCAGAAAAAGCGCCGGCUAACUACGUG
This 468-nucleotide ribosomal RNA is filed under the name uncultured bacterium. RNAcentral describes it as "partial 16S ribosomal RNA". It matches the Rfam family "Bacterial small subunit ribosomal RNA", at positions 28 to 507 of the family's 1533-position model. The record is from RNAcentral.